RNAcentral lists this ribosomal RNA (422 nucleotides) under uncultured bacterium. Its description in RNAcentral is "bacterial SSU rRNA". It matches the Rfam family "Bacterial small subunit ribosomal RNA", at positions 355 to 774 of the family's 1533-position model. The record is from RNAcentral.
UAAGGAAUAUUGGUCAAUGGGCGCAAGCCUGAACCAGCCAUGCCGCGUGCAGGAAGACGGCCCUCCGGGUUGUAAACUGCUUUUGUACGGGAAUAAACCUCGCUACGUGUAGCGAUCUGAAUGUACCGUAAGAAUAAGGAUCGGCUAACUCCGUUCCAGCAGCCGCGGUAAUACGGAGGAUCCAAGCGUUAUCCGGAUUUAUUGGGUUUAAAGGUUGCGUAGGCGGCCUGUUAAGUCAGUGGUGAAAGACGGUGGUUCAACCAUCGCAGUGCCCUAGAUACUGAUGGGCUUGAAUGGACUAGAGGUAGGCGGAAUGUGACAAGUAGCGGUGAAAUGCAUAGAUAUAUCACAGAAAAACGAUUGCGAAGGCAGAUUAAUAUGGUUUUAUUGACGCUGAGGCACGAAAGCGUAGAGAUCGAACA